This is a small nucleolar RNA of Sorex araneus (European shrew), 74 nucleotides long. The record is from Ensembl. NCBI's taxonomy places the organism in Eukaryota, Metazoa, Chordata, Mammalia, Eulipotyphla, Soricidae.
GAGCAGUGUGCUACAUAAUAGUUGAAUUAGCAGUAUAACAAAAUAGUAAUUCUGCCAGUUUCCUUCGGACAGUU